RNAcentral lists this ribosomal RNA (512 nucleotides) under uncultured bacterium. RNAcentral's name for it is "partial 16S ribosomal RNA". It matches the Rfam family "Bacterial small subunit ribosomal RNA", at positions 28 to 507 of the family's 1533-position model. The record is from RNAcentral.
GAUGAACGCUGGCGGCGUGCCUAAUACAUGCAAGUCGAACGAAACUUCUUUAUCACCGAGUGCUUGCACUCACCGAUAAAGGGUUGAGUGGCGAACGGGUGAGUAACACGUGGGCAACCUGCCCAAAAGAGGGGGGUAACACUUGGAAACAGGAGCUAAUACCGCAUAACCAUAGUUACCGCAUGGUAACUAUGUAAAAGGUGGCUAUACUACCGCUUUUGGAUGGGCCCGCGGCGCAUUACCUAGUUGGUAGGGUAAAGGCUUACCGAGGCGAUGAUGCGUAGCCGAAUUGAGAGGUUGAUCGGCCACAUUGGGACUGAGGCACGGCCCAAACUCCUACGGAAGGCAGCAGUAGGGAAUCUUCCACAAAGGGCGAAAGCCUGAUGGAGCAAGGCCGCGUGGGUGAAGAAGGUCUUCGGAUCGUAAAACCCUGUUGUUAGAGAAGAAAGUGCGUGGGAGUAACUGUUCACGUUUCGACGGUAUCUAACCAGAAAGCCACGGCUAACUACGUG